CAGUCGCCGCGGUAAUACGUAGGGUGCAAGCGUUAAUCGGAAUUACUGGGCGUAAAGCGUGCGCAGGCGGUUAUAUAAGACAGAUGUGAAAUCCCCGGGCUCAACCUGGGAACUGCAUUUGUGACUGUAUAGCUAGAGUACGGCAGAGGGGGAUGGAAUUCCGCGUGUAGCAGUGAAAUGCGUAGAUAUGCGGAGGAACACCGAUGGCGAAGGCAAUCCCCUGGGCCUGUACUGACGCUCAUGCACGAAAGCGUGGGGAGCAAACAGGAUUAGAUACCCCCGUAGUCCCUGUCUCUUAUAU
This 301-nucleotide ribosomal RNA is filed under the name uncultured bacterium. RNAcentral's name for it is "partial 16S ribosomal RNA". It matches the Rfam family "Bacterial small subunit ribosomal RNA", at positions 509 to 809 of the family's 1533-position model. The record is from RNAcentral.